This 429-nucleotide ribosomal RNA is filed under the name Chloroflexota bacterium. RNAcentral describes it as "Chloroflexi bacterium partial 16S ribosomal RNA". It matches the Rfam family "Bacterial small subunit ribosomal RNA", at positions 355 to 776 of the family's 1533-position model. The record is from RNAcentral. Lineage: Bacteria; Bacillati; Chloroflexota.
UGGGGAAUAUUGCACAAUGGGCGCAAGCCUGAUGCAGCCAUGCCGCGUGUGUGAAGAAGGCCUUCGGGUUGUAAAGCACUUUCAGCGGGGAGGAAGGCGUUAAGGUUAAUAACCUUGGCGAUUGACGUUACCCGCAGAAGAAGCACCGGCUAACUCCGUGCCAGCAGCCGCGGUAAUACGGAGGGUGCAAGCGUUAAUCGGAAUUACUGGGCGUAAAGCGCACGCAGGCGGUCUGUCAAGUCGGAUGUGAAAUCCCCGGGCUCAACCUGGGAACUGCAUUCGAAACUGGAAGGCUAGAGUCUUGUAGAGGGGGGUAGAAUUCCAGGUGUAGCGGUGAAAUGCGUAGAGAUCUGGAGGAAUACCGGUGGCGAAGGCGGCCCCCUGGACAAAGACUGACGCUCAGGUGCGAAGGCGUGGGGAGCAAACAGG